Ictidomys tridecemlineatus (thirteen-lined ground squirrel) is the source of this 2720-nucleotide long non-coding RNA. RefSeq lists it as uncharacterized. Lineage: Eukaryota; Metazoa; Chordata; Mammalia; Rodentia; Sciuridae. The record is from RefSeq and is a predicted model, not a curated record.
CCCAGUCUCUCUCUCUGCCUGCCUCCCGCACCUCUUCUCUCUCCUCUUUUGUUGCCUGUACUCUUCGUCGCGACGCUGCCUUGGCUGCUUUUCCCCCUCCCACUUGGGAGUUUGCAGCGUGGACGGCCGGUGAACACCGGGUUCCAGGAUUGGCUGUUGUGACUGAAUUGUCCCUAUCCACAUGAUGCAUGCCAGAGAUCCUAUUCCAGAGAACCUGUUCUGCAGGGUCAACUUAGAAAUUUGGGAAAACACAACACAUGGGACCAGAAGUUUGAGGACUUCACUGAAAUGAUUCUCCAUGCUUUGUACGACAUCUCUACAUAAGAAGAGAGAAAUCAUCACUCCAGUUUGAGACCCCCUCAUUCUUCCUCUUUGUUCCUUCUUCUACCCUCUUCAUAUCCCUGAUAAUAAAAAGUAAAAUGACAGAAAAAAAAGCAUGACAAAGGCAAACAAUACAUUAAGCGCACAACUGGAGUCACUAGGAUUAACCACUAAAAAUAUUGCACAGGGUAUACUCCUGCUAAAAACAAAUAUGUUGUUUAUCUGAAAUUAAAGUUGAACUUUAAUAUUUCAUCUGCAAGUCAACCACAAUCUACCUUGGUAGUGGUACAUGUAAAGCCAAAAGAACCUGAGAAGACAGAAAAAUAUGAGAGCAGGAGCAGAUUAAAGAACGCCUCACCAGAGGUCUUUGGGAAUGGACAAGGCAGGAAAGGGAAAGUAAGAGCAAAGACUGGAUGGAGCAACAGAGCUGUAAAGUCUUAGAAUGGCAUUUCCAGAGCUGGGCAGAGGGUAUCAUUACGGGUGCUUGUAGUUAGAGGUUAGGUGGUUUGCCUUUCUAGCCUUCCCCAACAGAACGCUGCAGUGUAGAACAGGUGUGUGCCUCUAGUCACCAGGGUCCCACAGAUGACCUCUGAAGAGAUACAACCCAGCUUCACUUUUAAGAACUUCAUAUUUGACCAAAGAGAAACUCUUAUCAAUAUCAAGGUCGUAAGCCAGUCCUUUUCUUGUGUUUUCAAGAGAUAUCAAAGAAGUUCAAUCCUCGAUACUCCACCACAAAGUCUAAAGUCAAGAAGUAAUGCAAAAUCUAAGGAACCUUCUUUAGAACACAUCAGACAGGGUUUUCUUCCUUUAUUCCAGACAAAUGGCCUGUGGCAGGGACAGCCUUCAUUUCUGUCCUACUCAUUCAUAUUAUUAUAAAUAACCACAGUCUCAACUGGAGAACUACCAGAGGUUGUUUUCUCUAACAAGUAGGUUCAUUUUUGUACAUACAAUUUUCCCCAAUAGCCUGAAUUUUCUACCAUUUUCCGUGUACACCAAAAAGCUGUAUUCUGUGCCUUACAAAAUAAUUGAGGUCUGAGAUGAGAGACUAGAAUGUGUUGGCAGGCCUGGCAGCAGAUGAAAGCUGAGCUUGGUAAGGGCUUUGAUGAGAAGGCUUUGUCGAUGGAAUGGACAAGAAGAGACCCACUCCUAAAUUUGCCCUGUGUUCCCAAAACAUUGUGGAAGUCCACCCUAAUGUUCAUAUUAUUUUGUAUAAUCUAUAACAUUACAUAUACUAUUACUGAGAGUUAAUAGUGACUCACAUGUCUGCUCUUUCAAAAUUAAUUGUGAUAUUAGCUACCGUGGGUACAUAAGAGAGAGGAAAACAGAAAAAGAGCUAGUUUUCAAAAGUAAAAAAAAAAAAAAAUCAUAAGACUUCCAGAUUACUCCUUGGAUGACAGCUCUCUGAUUCAUCUAGUAAUCAUUUUCUUUAACACCUCUUGUAUGCCCAGCUCUGUGGUUCCUGCAUUCUUUAUGAAAUGAUUAUUUAUUGUUCAAUACAGGGACUGGAGACAGAGUGGUAAUCAAUGCAAAGUCCCUCUCCUGGGUGAAGGGAGGGGACAGAGAAUACACAGUAAAUGAACAACAACAAAAAAAAAAAGAAAAGAAAAAAAAGAAAAUUUCAAAUCUUGACGAGUGAUAUGAAGAAACUUAAAGAGAGUUCUAGGACUAGUCAGGAGGUCAGGAGGGAUGGUAAGAGAGAACAGGUUAAAUUCGGUAUUUUGAAAAGGCCUCACUAAGGGCUGACAUACCAUAGAGAGCUGGAAACUGAAACAGAAUCAACCAAGAAAAUAAUGAGAAGACAUGAUUUUAUUAGUGUAUAAUCUAAUUCAAAUCAGUGACCAAUGUACGUAAAGGUAAAAUGUUUAAGUGCUGAAGGACUUUAGAAGAGAAAGAAAAGAUCAUCAGGCAGGGUUGUGGGGAGAAAAAUAGAAAAGGAAUACUUCAUAGGUCUGGAUUCUCCCCUCACUCCUACUUUGACCUGGAAUGGAUGUGGGUAAUGAAGGGAAGAGACAGGAUCAGAUAUGGGAGCAGAAUGAUCUGGACAUAGCCUCAUUGAUAGGCUUAAAGGUUCAUGUGAAAUGGCAGGGAAGACAGGGCCCAGGUACUAGGCGGCCCAGCAGGUGUUUGACACAUGUUCAGAAGCUUAGCAUGGGAAAGGGUGGUCAGGCACUUCAGCCCCUUGCUCUUCAAAAUGUGGUCCAAAGACCAACAGCAUUGGCAUCCCCUGGAAGCCUGUUAGAAAUGUGGAUUCAGGCUCCAUCCUAAACUGAGUCAGAAUCAGCUUUUUAGCAGUGUUUAAGUGUUUUGUGUGCCCAUAAAACUUUGAGAAAUGGAGUGACAGAACUUAGCUGAUCCCAGUCUUUGCUGUUCUGGCUGGCUUGGUGUGUGUGUGUGUGUAU